UCUUGCUUCAUCAGACAGCUCGGUCUCUGGUUUAGGAGCUUGUGGUCUCCCCCAGAGAAGCUUCAGUCUCAAGCCUUUUAUCACUAGCCUGUUCGCUAGUUCCUCAGCUGCCUUCUCUGCACCUUCUCUUGUCGUGUAGGUUACAAAAGCACAACCACGCGUUGGUGGGAAUUGUUCCUGUGUGCCUGGGGGUGGAGGAAGCUGAUUCUGCUGUUGUGAUAUGACAGCUCUGGGCAACAAUCCACUGUGUGACACUGCAGCCUGCUGUCUUGCUUCAUCAGACAGCUCGCUCUCUGGUUUAGGAGCUUGUGGUCUCCCCCAGAGAAGCUUCAGUCUCAAGCCUUUUAUCACUAGCCUGUUCGCUAGUUCCUCAGCCGCCUUCUCUGCACCUUCUCUUGUCGUGUAGGUUACAAAAGCACAACCACGCUGCACCACCAUUUUAAUGGACUCGAUUUCUCCAUGUGCAUAAAAGUGGUCCCUUAGAUCCUGCUCGUUGAUUCUUGCAUCAACACCACCCACAUAAAGGGUUCUAAUGCUCUCAUCAUCUGGGGGCUCCAAUGAAGGCAUUUCACCUGCCUUAUUAAGUAGCUUCAUAGCCACGGGAUCAUUAACUCUGCAAGCAUUGCAGGUAACAUAAUGGCAACAAUUCUUGAGCCACAACAUGAGCCAAAAACAUGAAUAAGAUAGUAAUAUAGCGCUUUUAAGUUAAUGAAGAUCAUUAGGACAAAACAUGAAUAAGAUAGUAAUCUAGCUCUUUUAAGUUAAUGAAGAUCAUUAGAACAAUAAAUCUUCAGGAAAGAGAACAUUCAACAAGAUGUCAUUAAUCUAAUGACGAUGAGAACCUAAAGAGGCAAGAACAGGUGGACAUUUCAAAGACGCAAAAUGGCAUGGCACUAGCUGCUUAGAAUAUGAGAAGAAAUGGAUCCUUCCAAUCUUGCUUAACUUAAUCUAGAAGGAGAACUAGGGUUUUAUGGCGACCUUGCUAGUCACACCUUCUCUGUUAUACUUAACAUGAAUGCUACAGACUCGUUAAGGGUGCCAGGUAUGGAAGUUUAUUAAGGUGUCUGAUUUUCCGAAGGUUUCUUAUUUAGGAAUUAAGGAAACCAAAAGAUCAUUAGCACUGGCUUUGAUAAAUAAAUGAAAAAAAGAUCAUUAACACUAAUGCGAGGUUAUGACUAAUAGGCAUAGCAAAUUAAGGUUGAAUGUCUGUGAUUUUUCACUAUGAAAUCUUCUCAACUGAGAAUGUGAAUGGUCUUUUACCUGGACAGAGAUAUUUGUUGUGGUAACAUAAAAAAUUAGAAAAAAAUGUGGCUUAGUCUCGAGACUAUAUUGAGGCGCAGGUACAAGUUCAGCUAUGCAUCAUCAACGUCAAGGAAACAUAGUCCUUAACCACGGGUGUCAUCAAGCAACUACUUUCAUCUCCAUUGGUUCAGAAAUAGCGAAGGAUUAAAACAAAAGAAAAGGCCAGCAUGGCUGUUGAAUCAGCUGCUGUUGCCGAGUGCAGUCCACGGGAUUUGCCUCUAGAGAAGCUCAUUCCUUGGAUGACGGAUCCUUAGGAUAGGUAUAGUCUUUUCUAUCUGUAGUUUCCCUGAUUAAGCCCAUUAUCAAAACUCUUUCCAUCCAUCUUGUAAGUCCUUUUUGUUCCUAGUACAAAAACAGAACCUAACUAAUACUUACUACUCCUAUUAGAUUUGACAUUGUUAAAUUACUUAUUUAUUAGAUAUAAACAUUGGACGAGGUUUUAGGAAAAAAUAUAUUUAUUUAUUUUAAAUAUUAUGCAACACAGUCCUCAACAAAAAGUAUGAACAAGCAAAACCUUUAUUUUCUUUUUGAACUCCAUGGUUGGAAAGAGUGUGAGGAUUUGAAAAAGCUAUUUUAUAUCUAUUGGGUGUUCACUGGGAUGAUUAUAGUACAGACAAAAAGGAAUAGACCACCAAAGUUACAAGGGAAUAUACUCUAAACAGCCAAUAUUUAGAAGGCACAUAUUGACAGUUGACACCAGAAGAUUAAAUAUCAAUAUUAUGUCUACUUCUACUACAAAACAGAAAAGCUACAUGCGGAUUAGACAUAUCCAGAGUUGAGCAUUGAAAAAGAAAACGAAUAGCAUUCAAAUUGACAGGAUAAAGAUUAGGUUGCACAUACCCGUAAUAACGGUCCUUAAUGUUUUGCUGUGACAACUCCCCAGUCUCAGGCAUUUCAUGCCUAUAAGGGCACUCCAAACCUCUUGUACAUUGACCACGUAUAAAGAAACUAC
RNAcentral lists this long non-coding RNA (2254 nucleotides) under Nicotiana benthamiana. RNAcentral describes it as "long non-coding RNA (NBEN_LNC021221)". The record is from RNAcentral. Lineage: Eukaryota; Viridiplantae; Streptophyta; Magnoliopsida; Solanales; Solanaceae.